This 1959-nucleotide ribosomal RNA is filed under the name Triticum aestivum (bread wheat). RNAcentral describes it as "partial small subunit ribosomal RNA". The record is from RNAcentral. Lineage: Eukaryota; Viridiplantae; Streptophyta; Magnoliopsida; Poales; Poaceae.
AUGAAGCUAUGCUUUGCCUUAAAAAAAAUCAAGCAGGUGCCCUUCCCUUUCAGUUUGCUCGUGGAUCCCACCUCCAACCCCGCGUCGCCCACCGGUCAAGCCGGUCUCCCUCCGUUCCCCACACCGGCGACGUCCGGUCUCGCUUCCCUUCCUUACAGUUUGUGCGUCAUGGGGACUUCUUCAGGUGCGAAUUUCCAUCAACAGCCUCCGCCCCAGGGGAUGCUGCCGCCUCGCCAUGGUGCCCGGGCCCCUAGCCUGCAGACUUCCCUCUCAUUGGCCUCGUCGGAACAGGUUGGCUCGCCUGAAAUGCAGGAACCUGUGUCCAAUUCUGACCAGGGCCAUGACUCUGCCACCGAAAGUGCAAGUUCGAGGGAGACCUGGCCUGUAGAGCCGGAACAUAGCAAUGCUGCUGCUGCUAGUAGUGGCGGUGCUGUGAAAAAGGUGGAGAUGGAAAAGGAUAUCAGAAAUGGUAUCCCCAAGUUGCAGGUUAUUCGUGGAAGCUCCCGCAUCGAUAGGGUGUCACUGAGGGAGAUUGCGCGGGAGAGAGUGGACCUAGUUGUUGAGAAAAUGAAGGUAAUGCCAGAGGAGCACCUGGAGGAGAUUAAAAAUGAGCUCAGGUCGAUUCUGGAGGGGACAGGGGGCUCUCAUCAUAUUGAGGAGUUUCUGUAUCUGCAGAAGUUUGUCCAGGGCAGAGGUGAUUUGACACCAACUAUGCUUUCAAUGGCCCAUCAUGUCCAACUGGAGAUCCUCGUGGCAAUCAAGACUGGAAUCCAGGCGUUUUUGCACCCCAGCGUCACCAUUCCCCAAAGCCACCUGGUGGAGGUCUUCUUGUAUAAGAGGUGCCGGAACAUUGCUUGCCAGAGUGCUCUCCCGGCUGAGGAAUGCAGAUGCAAUGUAUGUGCUAACAGAAAUGGGUUUUGCAACCUUUGCAUGUGCGUGAUUUGCAACAAGUUUGAUUUUGAGGUCAACACAUGCCGAUGGGUUGGGUGCGAUUUCUGUUCCCAUUGGACGCACACCGACUGUGCGAUUCGUGUUGGCCAGAUUGGGACAGGGCAAUCAAUUAAGAGCGGCACCGGUCAUGCCGAAAUGCUUUUUAGGUGCCAGGCUUGCCAGAAGACAUCAGAAUUAUUCGGUUGGGUUAAGGAUGUGUUUCAACAAUGUGCUCCUGGUUGGGAUAGGGAUGCCUUAGUACGAGAGCUUGAGUUUGUUUGUAAGAUAUUUCGUCUAAGCGAAGACCCAAAAGGAAGAAAUUUGUUCAGGAAAUGUGCGAAUCUGAUUGAAAGAUUGAGGAAUAGUUCUCCUGAUUCUGUCAAUCCUAGGAUGAUACUGCAUGCACUUCGAGAGCUUGAGAUGGAUUCCCCUAAGAGCUCUGAAAAUGAAGAAUCGGGACGCUUGAUCACUCCCCAGGAGGCAUGUAAUCGUAUUGCAGAGGUAGUCCAAGAAGCUGUCAGAAAGAUGGAGCUUGUUGCUGAAGAGAAAAUGGGACUGUACAAAAAGGCUCGCACCGCUGUGGAGGCCUGUGACCGUGAGCUUGAUGAGAAGGCCAGACAAGUUCAGGAGUUCAAGGCCGAGAGGCUGCGGAAGAAGCAGCAGGUGGAGGAGCUCGAGAGCAUUGUUCGGUUGAAACAGGCCGAGGCUGAGAUGUUCCAGCUCAAGGCAAGUGAGGCUCGCCAGGAGGCUGAGAGGCUCCAGAGCAUCGCGCUUGCCAAAUCUGAGAGGGCUGAGCAGGACUACGCUAGCCUCUACCUCAAGCGGCGCCUGGAGGAAGCGGAGGCAGAGAAGCAGUUUCUUUUUGAGAAAAUAAAGCUUCAGGACGGCCAUAGGCCCCCGCAGGCGAGCAGCAGCGUGCCUGCUGAUUCCUCUCAGGCUCCCUCUCAGGCGUUGAUGCUGUCCAAAAUUCAGGACCUUCUCAAGAACGUUCGUACCAUGCCGACAAAGUCGGAGGCGCAUUCAAAAUAA